Molecule: microRNA precursor, 57 nt
Filed under: Mus musculus (house mouse)
Lineage: Eukaryota; Metazoa; Chordata; Mammalia; Rodentia; Muridae
Description: Mmu-Mir-506-P23_pre stem-loop
Source: RNAcentral
UGUUCAGACUGGUGUCCAUCAUGUGAAAUAUUUGUGAAAGACAUCAUGCUGAAUAGA